AGCGAACGCUGGCGGCAGGCUUAACACAUGCAAGUCGAGCGGGCACUUCGGUGUCAGCGGCAGACGGGUGAGUAACACGUGGGAACGUACCCUUUGGUUCGGAAUAACGCUGGGAAACUAGCGCUAAUACCGGAUACGCCCUUUUGGGGAAAGGCUUGCUGCCGAAGGAUCGGCCCGCGUCUGAUUAGCUAGUUGGUGGGGUAAUGGCCUACCAAGGCGACGAUCAGUAGCUGGUCUGAGAGGAUGAUCAGCCACACUGGGACUGAGACACGGCCCAGACCUCCACGGGAGGCAGGAGGGGGGAAUUAGGGAAAAUGGGCGCAAGCCUGAACCCGCCAGGCCGGGUGAGUGAUGAAGGCCUUAGGGUUGUAAAGCUCUUUUGUCCGGGACGAUAAUGACGGUACCGGAAGAAAAAGCCCCGGCUAACUUCGU
This 432-nucleotide ribosomal RNA is filed under the name uncultured bacterium. RNAcentral describes it as "partial 16S ribosomal RNA". It matches the Rfam family "Bacterial small subunit ribosomal RNA", at positions 29 to 506 of the family's 1533-position model. The record is from RNAcentral.